Molecule: ribosomal RNA, 513 nt
Filed under: uncultured bacterium
Lineage: Bacteria
Description: partial 16S ribosomal RNA
Rfam family: Bacterial small subunit ribosomal RNA
Source: RNAcentral
GACGAACGCUGGCGGCAUGCCUAAUACAUGCAAGUCGAGCGAACAGAUGAAGUGCUUGCACUUCUGACGUUAGCGGCGAACGGGUGAGUAACACGUAAGGAAUCUACCUAUAAGCGGGGGAUAACAUUCGGAAACGGGUGCUAAUACCGCAUAAUAUCUUCUUCCGCAUGGAAGACGAUUGAAAGACGGCUCUGCUGUCACUUAUAGAUGACCUUGCGGUGCAUUAGUUAGUUGGUGGGGUAAUGGCCUACCAAGACGAUGAUGCAUAGCCGACCUGAGAGGGUGAUCGGCCACAUUGGGACUGAGACACGGCCCAAACUCCUACGGGAGGCAGCAGUAGGGAAUCUUCCGAAAUGGGCGAAAGCCUGACGGAGCAAUGCCGCGUGAGUGAAGAAGGCCUUCGGGUCGUGAAACUCUGUUAUAAGAGAAGAACAAAUUGUAGAGUAACUGCUACAGUCUUGACGGUAUCUUAUCAGAAAGCCACGGCUAACUACGUGCCAGCCGCCGCCGUAA